GGGCCCAUAGCUCAGUGGUAGAGCGCUGGCUUCGCAAGCCAGAGGUCGCGGGUUCGAGUCCCGCUGGGUCCA
This 72-nucleotide transfer RNA is filed under the name Hadesarchaea archaeon. RNAcentral describes it as "tRNA-Ala". It matches the Rfam family "tRNA". Rfam says of the family: Transfer RNA (tRNA) molecules are approximately 80 nucleotides in length. Their secondary structure includes four short double-helical elements and three loops (D, anti-codon, and T loops). Lineage: Archaea; Methanobacteriati; Hadarchaeota (SeqCode); Hadarchaeia (SeqCode). The record is from RNAcentral.